Pygocentrus nattereri (red-bellied piranha) is the source of this 310-nucleotide long non-coding RNA. RefSeq lists it as uncharacterized. Lineage: Eukaryota; Metazoa; Chordata; Actinopteri; Characiformes; Serrasalmidae. The record is from RefSeq and is a predicted model, not a curated record. The transcript has 4 exons.
AUUUCUCACACACAUUUUUGUGGUUAUUAAUUUAUUUCUCUGGAGUGUUUGGUCUAACAUGAAGACGAAGAACAGACUGCUGCUUUUUCUUGAGCUGUGGACAAAGGACUGAGGAAAUGCUUAACUGCAUCUUCAAUUAAACAUCAGUCUUAAAGGCUAUUUCAGGAUGAGUUCGUGGAAACCCACAGGCUCACCACAAUUAUCACUUCCAUCAUGGAGCACUAAUUGAACAGAAACUCAGCGCGUUGCACAGAUGCACUGAACGCCGCACUGUUGACCGGGCAUAUAUUUCAACUGAUAUGGUUUCCAG